Molecule: long non-coding RNA, 4842 nt
Filed under: Pan troglodytes (chimpanzee)
Lineage: Eukaryota; Metazoa; Chordata; Mammalia; Primates; Hominidae
Description: long non-coding RNA NONPTRT010353
Source: RNAcentral
UAAAUUUAAAAGGUGAUUUUUAGUUACACCCGGAAUUCUCAGCCUAUUUAGAAGUAUCCCAUAGUUUAAAAAUCCAGGAAUCUCUGAAUUCCUGGCUAACUCCUGAGUAAAAUCAACCUAUCUACCAGGAAAAGCACUAGAAGGCACCAUGCCCCUUCAUGGGCGAGUGACUUGAGGGAAUACAUGGGUAAAAGGGAAGGUGCCAUAAGUUAACUUCUUUGGCCAGCACUCCAGACUGAGCAUCGAGCCUCCUUUAUUCCCACCUUCUCUUCCAGACGCACGCCGACACUGGGCAGAAGGGAAGAAACCAGUGGGGAUACUGUUGUUUUGCGGGGGCAGCAUGAGCAGACCCAGGAAGAAAAUGCUGGCCUUGAGAUAGAUAGCUCUUCAGAGGAUCCAGAUUAAACUAAGUUCGAGUCACUUCUCACAGUUGACUUCCUCACCAAAUAAUAAGGGGGUGAAGAAGACUCGGCCUACCUACUACUCAGUAAUCCUGCUGUCCAGUCGACUGGAGAAGAGAGAUUUGUUCACCUCUACUAGUUUUAUUUGUUCUUAGUAGUUGUAGAAUUUAAAUUGGUUUUAAUGAAAUGUUCCUUUUAUGAAAUUUUAAAUAAAAGCCAUUUAGUGUAUAUUUAGUAUAGCAAGAAGCAUGUGAAUAAGCUCCAUAUAACCUGACAUUGCGCAUCUUACAGCAUCCUCUUGGUCAGAUGUCUAAUAAAAAGAUUGUUAUUUUCAAAUUUAUCAUAGUUCCUGCAACUUGCACUUUUUAAAGCUGUGUUUGUGAGAGUUUAUAGACUGCAUAUUGCUAUACUUGAUGGAAAUUAAACUAUUUUUAUUUUGAAAGAAGUUAAUUUAUAUUUUAAGUUCUUUAUGUUUUUCUCCUUUUACCUGAGUUCUUUUCAGUCAUUUUGUGUUGUUAAGUUUUUUUUAGGUUGUCAUAUAUUUUUCUUUUUUAGGUUACCAUCCUAGUUUACUGUAAAACAUUUCUUAGAGCAAUAGAUUGGGAAAGAGCCUCGAGAUAUCUUUUAGACCAAAUCCUAGAUCUCAGAAAGCCAGUGGACAUUCAGUAAAUGCUUGUUGGCCAGGUGCCGUGGCUCACGCCUAUAAUCCCAGCACUUCAGGAGGCCAAGGUGGGAGGAUGGCUUGAGCCCAGAAGUUCAAGACCAGCCUGGGUAACAUAAUGGGAUUCCAUCUCUACAAAAAUAAAAAUAAAAAAAUUAGCCAGGAAUGGUGGUGUGCACCUGUAGUCCCAGCUAUUUGGGAGGCUGAGGUAGGAGGAUUCCCUGAGCCUGAGAGGUUGAGGAUGCAGUGAGUGGUGAUCACACCACUGCACUCCAGCCUGGGUUACAGGGUGAGGCCCUGUCUCAAAUAAAUAAAUAAUUAAAACUUGUUAAGUGAAUGAAUAAACUAGGGGGGCAACUCUGAGAGUGUCUGCCCACAAAUCCUACACAGUGCCUUCAAAUUACUGGGUGCAGUGGCUCACACCUGUAAUCCCAGCACUUUGGGAGUCUGAGAUGGGCAGAUCAUCUGAGGUCAGGAGUUCAAGACCAACCUAGCCAACAUGGUGAAACCCCGUCUCUACUAAAAUACAAAAAUUAGGCGGGCGUGGUGGCAGGUGUCUAUGGCCCCAGCUACUCAGGAGGCUGAGGCAAGAGAAGCACUUGAACGUGGGAGACGGAGGUUGCAGUGAGCCGAGAUCGCACCGCUGCACUCCAACCUGGGCGACAGAGUGAGACUCCGUCUCAAAAAAUAAAACAAAAUACUGAAUGUAAAUCCCUUAACAUUGUGCUGUUGUGCCACAGCUCCUUACAGGUCCCACCUUCCCUCUCACUUUCUGCCCACCCUGUUACCUGCCUGGCCCCUGUAAGCUUUUCUGCUGUGCUUUUGGAAAUCUUUCAACCACAAUAGCAUGCUUUGUUGCAAACUCUUAGGGACCUAAGCCAGGCAUGGUGGCAUGCACUUGUAAUCCCAGCUACUUGGGGAGGCUGAGGCGGGAGGAUCACUUGAGCCCAGGAGUUCAAGACCAGCCUGGGCAACAUAGCGAGAACAUGUCUCAAAAAUAAAAAGGAAAAAAAUGGGGGAAAAAACCCUCCCAGGGACAGAUAUCCACAGCCAGUCUUGAUAAGCUCCAUCAUUUUAAAGUGCAAGGCGGUGCCUCCCAUGUGGAUGAUUAUUUAAUCCUCUUGUACUUUGUUUAGUCCUUUGUGGAAAUGCCCAUCUUAUAAAUUAAUAGAAUUCUAGAAUCUAAUUAAAAUGGUUCAACUCUACAUUUUACUUUAGGAUAAUAUCAGGACCAUCACAGAAUGUCUGAGAUGUGGAUUUACCCUAUCUGUAGCUCAGUUCUUCAACCAUUCUUUUAGCAAGGCUAGUUAUCUUCAGUGACAACCCCUUGCUGCCCUCUACUAUCUCCUCCCUCAGAUGGACUACUCUGAUUAAGCUUGAGCUAGAAUAAGCAUGUUAUCCUGGGAUUCCAUAUGGAAUAUUUUAUACAUGAGUGAGCCAUUAUGAGUUGUUUGAAAAUUUAUUAUGUUGAGGGAGGGUAACCGCUGUAACAACCAUCACCAAAUCUAAUCGACUGAAUACAUUUGACGUUUAUUUCUUGUUCACCUGACAGUUCAGUGUUACCUAAAUUUACAUGAAGACCCAGAGGCCCAUGCUCCUUCAUUUUGGGCUCCACCGACCUCCAAGGUUUCAGGGCCCUCUGCCCCGCCUUCUGCACCCACAGGGGAAGAGAGUGGAGGAUGCACACGCCCAGGCCUGGAAGCGACGCAUGUGGCUUCCCCGUCCACAGACUUCACCCACAGUCCAUUGGCCUUCUUAAGUCAUGGACUCCUGCUGAGCUGCCAGGGUGCGUGGGAAAUCCAUGUGACUGUGUGCCCUGGAGGAAGGGGAGCGUUUCGGUGAGCACACAGGAGUCUUUGCCACUAGACGCUGAUGAGGAUUCCCCACAGGCGAUGAAGCAUGGAGACUCAUCUUGUAACAAACAGAUGAGUUGUUGACAUCUCUUAAGUUUAUUUUGUGUGCAGUUUUUAUUCAGAUAGGAAAGGCUGUUAAAAUCUUAACACCUAACUGGAAGAAGGGUUUUAGAGAAGGGUGGUUUUCAGUAAGCCAGUUCUUUCCACAAUCCAAGAAACGAAAUAAAUUUCCAGCGUGGAGCAGUUUGCAGGUAAGGUUUUUGUUGUGGUCUCGCCCAGGCUUGAGUGUAACCGGUGUGGUCAUAGCUCACUACAUUCUCAAACUCCUGGCCUUAAGUCAUCCUCCUGCCUCAGCCUCCCAAAGGCAAGUAAGGUUAAGAAUAGGGGAAAGGUGAAGUUUCACAGCUUUUCUAGAAUUCUUUUUGUUCAAGGGACUCUCAGAUCAUCAAACCCACCCAGAAUCUGCUCAAUUUUCAAGAUUUGCUUAUAAAUAUUUAUAAUAUAAACACUCAAUUGCUAUCUGUUUUUUAGGUUCUCCUCUCUCUCCCAGAACAGUGGUAACAGGAACUCUUGGGGGCUUCUCCCUGUUCUUGCAGAUGUGGCAGGAUGUGUUUCUGGGGGGCUCCCAUGCCAGUCCACACCCUCUGUGGUGUAAGCAGGGAUUGGUAAUUAAUGAGAUGCUAAACCCUCCAGAAGUGAGCGCUCAUGUCCCAGAAACACAUCUUCCACCUCAGCAGCCAGUGGGAAAACUAGACUUUGUGUCUGCAUAUUUGUUCUUAAACACACUCUUCUGCAGUCUAACUCUGCUGACCACUUUCCAGUUUGCUCAUAUCAGAAUUUCUUUGGUUCUAAGAUGCAUAUUUUCUUUUUGUAUUCUGACUUGUUAGAAAUUAGAAUAUGUCUUGCAGCCAAUAAAAUCUAUGACAACAUUUUUUUUUUCUUAAUGGUUCCUAAAACUGUAGUUGAUGGUGUCUUGCUUAGGUUUAACGAAAGAUAUUUUAAUAUAUGGCAUGGUUAUGUGGAGUUGUAUCUCUAUCAGUAUUAAUGGGCUGGGGAUGAUUUAUAUUCAACUGAACCCCCAAAUUCAACAUUUUGUGUUGAAUAUUUAUUUUAUCAGUUAUUCUUUAUCCUGUACUCAUUUUGGAUACUUACUAAAGUAUUGUAUGUAUUUGUUAUAAUAAAAUGGCUUACCGUGUUUGAACACACUGUGUAUCUGACAAUGUUCUAAGACCUCAUUUGAUCUUCAUGACAACUUCAUAAAAUAGUUACUAUUAUCCUCAAUUCACAAAUGAGAAAGUGAGACACAGAGAUGCUAAGGAAUUGCCCAAAGUCACACAGCUACUGAGUGGCAGAGCCAGGGUCCGGGCCCAGGCAGUGUGGCUCCAGGUGCCGCCCACUCUUGACGUGAUACUUACCGUCAAUGCUCCUUACCAGUUAGGGAUGAGCUGAUUCUCAUAUUUUUCCAAGAUACAUUUUAAUUUUAGCUUUAUUUGCUGUAUCAUCAUCAUCAGUAUCAUCAUCAUCAUCAUCAUCAGUUUUCUUGUUUUAAAAUAGGGUUUGGAGUCUCUUCAAGUCUUUCUGUUUUGGAAAAGUAAAACUUAAAAAUCUAUAGCCAUGUGAAUUAUACUUAUGGAGAAAAAGAGUCUUGUUUUAUUAACAUCAGACAUCUUUGUUCCUACUAAUUAUUUUGGAGUAAUGUUCAGCAUCGGGCUAAUGAUCGAUGGAUAUCACUCAUCCAAUUAUGAUGCAUGGAUUAGACCACGGCCUUAAACUUUGUACAUAGUGUUGAAUAAAUUCACCUUAUUUGCAGUCUUAUUGUCAUCUAGCUUUGAUACACUUGCCCUUUCAUAUGUCUCUUGUCACUAUUCUGUGUAAGAUUAUAAUCCCAAAUACCACUAUAUGUAUUUUUCUUCAUAUUCUAUUAUCG